RNAcentral lists this unclassified non-coding RNA (435 nucleotides) under uncultured Pseudotomentella. Its description in RNAcentral is "sequence contains ITS2". The stretch from base 1 to 154 matches the Rfam family "5.8S ribosomal RNA". Lineage: Eukaryota; Fungi; Basidiomycota; Agaricomycetes; Thelephorales; Thelephoraceae. The record is from RNAcentral.
AACUUUUGGCAACGGAUCUCUUGGCUCUCGCAUCAAUGAAGAACGCAGCGAAAUGCGAGAAGUAAUGUGAAUUGCAGAAUUCAGUGAAUCAUCGAAUCUUUGAACGCACCUUGCGCUCCUUGGUAUUCUGAGGAGCAUGCCUGUUUGAGUGUCAUGAAAUUCUCAACUGCUUUCGCGUUUGCGGGUGAAGUAAAGUUGGAUGUGGAGGGAUAAUUGCUGGCGUAAGCGUUUAAGGGUGCUUGUUAGCUCCUCUUCAAUGGAUGAACUUUCCAGUAGUGUAAAAGUAACACCAAUGUGAUAAUUAUCUACGUUGGAUGAACUUGUACAAGGAAAGAUGAAUCUGUCUUGGACCCCCUUGACGAAACAAAUGACAAAUUUGACCUCAAAUCAGGUAGGACUACCCGCUGAACUUAAGCAUAUCAAUAAGCGGAGGCU